Non-coding RNA from Equus caballus (horse), 4343 nucleotides. The record is from RefSeq and is a predicted model, not a curated record. NCBI's taxonomy places the organism in Eukaryota, Metazoa, Chordata, Mammalia, Perissodactyla, Equidae.
CCUUGUAUUAAUACGUUUUAUACUAUUAUGAAAGUAUUAAUCCCCAUUUUUCAUAACCUUUUACUAUCUAGUCUAUUAUUCUUAAAUGGGAUCCUUUAACUCCCACCUAGGUCUAUACAAUCAUCAAUAGUCUUGUACUUCUCCUUGCUCUCUCCCUUUUCUUUCCAUCUUCCUUUAGUUGCAUUCUUUCUACUUUUGUCAGAAUAUAUAAUUUUAUACUAUUCUUCUACCCAUGGGUGAUGGAUUUGUAUCUUGUCAAUUUAGCUAAGUUGGAAUUGUUUUCCAGUAUUCUAUUCCCUCCCUAGUGCUGGGGUAUCCUGGACCACAAGAGAUAUUUUGAGAGAGAAGUGGAAGGUGUACAAGAAAGCAGCAGCCACAUUCUGUUUUGCUUGGAAGACUGGUACAGGGCACCAGGCAUUACUGCACAGUUCACAUACUUCAUAGCUUAUCUGCUGGCUCAUGCUGCUGGCCGUGGGAUAGCCAACUGGGCCCCACAGAUGCACCAGCUCCUGCCAGAUCUCCUCCCUCAGCUUCUUCAACUCCUGGGCCAGGUGAGUGGUUAGCUCCAAGACAAAGGACACCAACUUCCUCCGCUGGUCCCCUCAUUACUUAUGUUGGAAAUUUACGUGGGUUCCAGCUCAUGCCCGCAGGCUGUAGUCCAUCCUUGCUCUCCCCUACUUCACAGCCAUCUUUCCUUUUCAGCUGCCUGACCAGCUGACUCCAAGUUGAGGUACUAGACAUAGAAGCAACAUUCACAUGUACACUAGUUAAUCAGCUCCCACAAUUACAUAAGGCCAAGUGCCUAUCAUAAACCCUUUAUUAUUUCUCAUUACUCUUAGUGGUUCUGCUUCUCUAAUCAAACCCUGACUUACAACCAAAACUCCACAUCCUCGUUUUGGUCUUAGCUCUACAAAGACCUGUAUGAAAUCUUCAUCUUUCCAUUUGGCCGGUUCCUUAGUCACCCCUGGUUACAAGCAGCUCUCCCUCAAGUAGAGUCACCAGAAAGUAGAUUCAGAUGUGCACAGUAUUCUCCGAGUUCUUGGACAUUCAAAACUGUUUUUCUAUAACCCUUACUGAUUCUUGACAGACAGCUGGUUGGAUACAAUAGCCUUGAUUUGUACUCUCUCCACUUCAGAUUCCUGAAAAUGUUGCUCUUGCUUUUUUUGGGAUUUGCGAAAAGUCUGUCCAGUCUAAUUUACAUGCUUCUGAAAGUCAUCUUUUUUCCUGGAGGCCCUGAGGAUUUUUUUUCAACAUCUUGAAAGUGUACUAGCUUGACUACGAUACUCCUUGGGCUGUUCUGGCUGUUUUCCCUGGUAUCCGGUAGGCCCUUUCAAAACAAAGAUGUGAGGUUUCUUUUAUUUCUAGAAUAUUUUCUUGGAUUCUAAUUUUAGAUAUUCUAGUCAAUUGUUUUGAUUUUCUUCUUCAGAGUCUCCAAGUAGUCUUAUGUUGGACUUCUGCAUGUCUUCCAAUUCAGUCAUUUUCUAACUCUUUUUACUUCUUUCUUUAGCUUAUUUUCAUUUUCUGUUUGUUUUUCUUCCCCUGCUUUACUUCAACGCUCCUUAUUACAUUUUUAUAUGAACUUAUUGUCCCUUGGGUACUUUGUAAUUUAGCCUUCAUUGCUAAUUCUGACCUUUCUCUUCUAUAUCUUUUCUGAGUUCAGUCAACACUUAUUUCUUCCUUUUUUGUGUCCAUUUCUGUUCUUAGUUUUUGAAUUUCUGAUUCAAACUGAUUUUCACUAUUCCUAACGGCUGUCUGAGGAUAUGUAAUUCCAUAUGGAGAAUUGUUACUGUUUUUGUCAACAUUGUGAUUGAGAAUUUUCAUCAGCAUUUCAACUGGGAAUGCUUUUUACAGUUUCAUACAGAUAUGAUCUGCUUUCUAAUAUUCCUUUUCAUUUUGUGGACAGGGCUACUAGUUUGAGCGACCUCUUCUGAUAGUUCCUUCUUUCUGGGCAGUUUCAUUUUGGAUAGCAUUGUUGGAAGGAGGGGUUGAUGUGUAUUUUUUCUUUUGUUUCUGCAGGAUCCCUAACUUUUCCCUCUUAUUUUGUUCUUUCCCUUCAGUAGACUCUCUCCAAGGGAAACCACACCUCUAUAUCUCCGAUUCCUUCCCAGAAGCAAUGCUUCUCUGAGGUUUCCGUUUCUAGUCCCGCACUCUUUCAAGAGCCGGUGCUAGGAAACCAGUGUUCAGUAUUUUACACUUAGUGUUGGGCUUUCUCUUUCUGUAGGUAAGGAGGUUACUCGGUUUGUGCUCUGCAAGUCCUCUGAACCACUCUAGUUUUUUUCAUGGAGUCUCUUACACCUCCCCGUUCCUCUUCUCAGCACCUGUGGGCUUGAGGCAGCAGUACCUUUAACAGCAUUCAGUUUAUUUCUCAACUUACAGGAAAGAGAAGACAAGUGGGAGACUCAAAAUCAGGUGGCUACCAUUCUUCUCCAAACUAGGAAGUAGCAGAGAUAGAUUCUUGUUUUUACCAUCCGGUUUACCGAGCUAAAAUUUACUUAAAGUAAACUUUGUCUUUUGAUACUGUUAAUUAAAUAAAUAUAACUGAGUCCUAAGACCAGCCUCUUACUUAAUGGAUAAAACUAGAAGAAUUUCCAAUAAGAUAAGGAAUGAGGCAAAGAUGCCCACUGUCUCUACUACUAUUUAACAAUGGAUUGGGAGGGGGGUAUUUACCAACAAAAUUAGACAAGAGAAAUCAGUCACAGACAUAAGAAUUAGAAAAUUUCUUUGCAGAUAAUGAUAGUGUAUUAGGGAAACCUCACAGAAUCAAUUAUAAAACUAAACCAAAUAAUAAGAGAUUCAAGAAGUAACAAUAUAAAAUUAACACAUGGAAAUCAAUAGCCUUUAUACACCUAUACAACAAUCAGUUGGAGGAGAUAAUGGUAGACAAAACCUCACAGCCAUAAACGUAUGAAAAGACAUUCAAUCCCAUUCUAAAAUGCAAUUUAUUACUACACUAAGUUACCAGUGCUCACCUCAUAGAUCAGUAAAAAUUAAGUCAACAUAUUUUACUGGAUCAGCAGUGAAAGAGGUACACUCACAUACCACUAGUAGGAACGUAAACUAGUUCAACCCUCCUGGUGCAAAAUUUGGCAACAUCUAACAAACAACAUAGGCAUUUAACUUUGACCAAGCAAUCCCACUUCUGGGAAUUUAUCCUUAAGAUAUACUACCAGCAAUACAAAAAUAGAUCCACGAGAUUAUUCAUUGUUUGUAACUGCUAAAUAUUGGAAACAACCUAAAGGCCAAUAUAUAAGAUAGGAGAGUGGCUCAACAAAUUAUGGUACACACACACACAAGGAGUACCACGCAGCUAUUAAAAAUAAUCAGGAAGUUCUCUAUGAAUUGAUAUGGGGUGAAUGCAAGGACAAAUUUUUUAGGGGAAAAAAGCAAAGUGCACAAAAAUGCCUAUAGUAUGCCACAUUUUUUGGAAAAAAGAAAACAAGAAGAGGAGGAAAUAAAACAAUUAAAAGAAUGGAAGGUAGGAACAGGUGGAAGAGAUGGGUGGAUGGAACCAUACUUUCUGUAUAGUUCUGACUUUCAGGACCACAUUAAAAUUUUACAUACUCAAAAACAAAUAAAAUCAACAAAAAUGGGAGGGAUAAAAAUACAAACAAAAAUGAACCUAGCUAUACUUCAAAUGAAUAACAUAACUUCAUUGGGGGGAGGUGAGAGGGACUAGUCUAAGUAAUUUUUGAAUUAGUUGAGAGGGACUAGAAGCAAAGACACCCCAGAAACAAUGAGCACAUCUAGUGCCCAGAUGUGGUUUCUCAAAACCAUUCCCAACACUCAAAGGAAUCAGAACUCCCUGGAGAAAUGGCCAAUUCAGGGAUGGUGCUGGGAAAGCACAAGAUGAACCUGGAACUAUUUUGUUGUGACAAGUAAGGAAGUGCUCAAAGAAUGAAAAGGACACGUCAAAAGGCCACAAGUGAUAGCCUGAAAGGGAUCCCAUUAGUCAAAUAGGAACGGUGCAAACAUCAAAAGAAAUAAUGACAGUGAUGAUUUAUAAGCCAAUGAAUUAAAUAAGUAUCCAUGAACCAAGUCCAUGUAUAUUUUAUAUAUGUAUUAUACAUACACACAAUAUAUAUCAUAUUACAUCAAAAAAUAUUUAUUUUCCUUCUGAUCAAUAUACCCCAACACUUCCUUGAAGAAGUGAUAAAUGAGGUGAGAUCUGAAUGAUGAGAAAGUAUUAACUAGGUGAAGAGAGCAAUGAAGGAGAUUCCAGGGAGAGAAAACAAUGCAUGCAAAAGAGGGUGCAUGAAAGAGAGAGAGACUGAAGAAGGUAAGUGACAAAGCCCAGAGAACAAAGCGGGGCAGGGGACAAAAUGAGAUACACAGAUAGGGUCAGC